This 301-nucleotide ribosomal RNA is filed under the name uncultured bacterium. RNAcentral's name for it is "partial 16S ribosomal RNA". It matches the Rfam family "Bacterial small subunit ribosomal RNA", at positions 509 to 808 of the family's 1533-position model. The record is from RNAcentral.
CAGUCGCCGCGGGAAUACGUAGGUGGCGAGCGUUGUCCGGAAUUAUUGGGCGUAAAGGGAGCGCAGGCGGACAUAUAAGUCCAUCUUAAAAGUGCGGGGCUCAACCCCGUGAGGGGAUGGAAACUGUAUGCCUUGAGUGCAGGAGAGGAAAGCGGAAUUCCCAGUGUAGCGAUGAAAUGCGUAGAUAUUGGGAGGAACACCAGUGGCGAAGGCGGCUUUCUGGACUGCAACUGACGCUGAGGCUCGAAAGCCAGGGGAGCGAACGGGAUUAGAUACCCCCGUAGUCCCUGUCUCUUAUACC